RNAcentral lists this ribosomal RNA (403 nucleotides) under uncultured bacterium. RNAcentral describes it as "partial 16S ribosomal RNA". It matches the Rfam family "Bacterial small subunit ribosomal RNA", at positions 29 to 523 of the family's 1533-position model. The record is from RNAcentral.
AUUGAACGCUGGCGGCAGGCCUAACACAUGCAAGUCGAACGAGUGGCGGACGGGUGAGUAAUGUCUGGGAAACUGCCUGAUGGAGGGGGAUAACUACUGGAAACGGUAGCUAAUACCGCAUACCAUCGGAUGUGCCCAGAUGGGAUUAGCUAGUAGGUGGGGUAAAGGCUAACCUAGGCGACGAUCCCUAGCUGGUCUGAGAGGAUGACCAGCCAGACUGGAACUGAGCCACGGUCCAGACUACUACGGGAGGCAGCAGGGGGGAAUAGUGCACAAGGGGCGCAAGCCUGAUGCAGCCAUGCCGGGUGUAUGAAGAAGGCCUUCGGGUGGUAAAGUACUUUCAGCGGGGAGGCGUUACCCGCAGAAGAAGCACCGGCUAACGCCGUGCCAGCAGCCGCGGUAC